This 789-nucleotide ribosomal RNA is filed under the name uncultured bacterium. RNAcentral's name for it is "bacterial SSU rRNA". It matches the Rfam family "Bacterial small subunit ribosomal RNA", at positions 31 to 792 of the family's 1533-position model. The record is from RNAcentral.
ACACGCUGGCGGCGUGCUUUACACAUGCAAGUUGAACGAUCCGCCUGGAUACAGCCUUGUGCUGUAUCCGGAUUACGGAUAGUAGCGGACGGGUGAGUAACGCGUAAAGAAUCUGUCCUCGAGUUUGAGACAACCUGACGAAAGUGGGGCUAAUCUCAGAUAAGCUAACAGGUAGGCAUCUACCAGUUAGAAAAGGUGGUGUAAGCCAUUGCUUGAGGAGGUCUUUGCGUCGGAUUAGCUUGCUGGUGAGAUAACAGCUCACCAGGGCGACGAUCCGUAGCUGGUCUGAGAGGACGAUCAGUCACACUGGAACUGAGACACGGUCCAGACUCCUACGGGAGGCAGCAGUGGGGAAUCUUCCGCAAUGGGUGAGAGCCUGACGGAGCAACGCCGCGUGAAUGAAGAAGGCCUUCGGGUUGUAAAGUUCUGUCCUUGGGGAAGAGCGGUAGAUACAGGCAAUGGUAUUUACGUGACGGUACCUGAGGAGGAAGCCCUGGCUAACUACGUGCCAGCAGCCGCGGUAAUACGUAGAGGGCAAGCGUUGUCCGGAAUCAUUGGGCGUAAAGGGUACGCAGGCGGAUAUGCAAGUCAAAUGUGAAAGGUACCGGCCCAACCGGUAGAGUGCAUUUGAAACUGUAUAUCUUGAGUACAGCAGAGGAGAACGGAAUUCCUGGAGUAGCGGUGGAAUGCGUAAAUAUCAGGAAGAACACCAGUGGCGUAGCGGUUCUCUGGGCUGUACUGACGCUGAGGUACGAAAGCUGGGGUACGAACGGGAUUAAAUACCCGGUA